This is an RNA transcript of Caretta caretta (loggerhead turtle), 1271 nucleotides long. RefSeq lists it as uncharacterized. The record is from RefSeq and is a predicted model, not a curated record. Lineage: Eukaryota; Metazoa; Chordata; Testudines; Cheloniidae.
ACCGGCGCCGCGCGCUGACGUAGCGCCCGGGCCGCGCCCGGCCCAGAGCGGGCCCCGGGUCACCCCGGCAGCGCUCACCCGGGACCGCCCCUGCGGGUCGCGACUUGGUCCCCCGAGUUCGGCGGGUCCCCGGGCCCAGCGGGCGCCCCCCGCACGGCUGGGGGAGGGGCCCCGGGCCGGCCUGGCCCCCAGGGGUGGCGGGCCCGCGUGUGAGAGUAGCCGCCUCCGGUAGGGCGAGCCGGGGUCCCGAUUUUAUAGACAGCCCCGAUAGCCGGGGCGUUUCCUUAGAGGGGCUCCUGUUACCCCCCCGGUUUGUCACACUUGCUGCCUGGUCACCCCGGCCUCAGGUAACUCUGAAGCAGCUGGGCACAAACCGGUUGUGAGUUUUAUGCUUCGGUUCCACCAACCCGCGUGUCAAGUGUAAAUGCCUCAAGACCUGUAACAGCCUUAACAUGGCCCCCGGGGGGGGGGUGCAGUGCCACCGUGCACGGGCAAAACUCGUGCCCCUGCCCCGGGGCAGAUCUCUUUGCUUCCCCGCAGAAAAUUCCAGGGAAGCCGCCACACAAGUGGUCACACCCCCUUCCCCGGCUGCACAGGUGCCUCCUUGCCGGUGCCCGGAGCAGCCGGCAGAGAGACUAACACGGCUGUUCCUCUGAAAGGUGGCAAGGGUGUCGCUCUGGCUCGCUGACUGCAGCUGGAUGCCACCUCCUGGGUCCCAGUGCGGGUCGGCCUCCGCUGGUGUGUGUGCUGGGUGCCCUGCGUGGAUUCCAUCCCGCUUUCUGUACAAUGAAGUGAAGAGGAGCUGGUGUGCCAGGAAGCUCAGAUGCACAAAAGGAUGCUGCUCCUUGUUCAUUCUACUAUGAGAGGCCUUUACCAGAUAACAUGAUGUCUCUCAUUUCCAUUUUGGUUUAUUAGGCUGACACACUCCUCCCCCAGGACAGCAUGGUACUAUAUUGUUCCUUUGGGUUAAGUUUUGCUUUGCCUACUGCUAUGAAACAUUUUCCUGUAUCUUAUACUGUGUUUGGUGGGUAACUAACUUACUGCUGUACGGGUAUGCUGGCUGAUUUUGACAUUACAUUUCAAAUCAGAAUUUUUAACUUUUAUUGAUCCCUAAUUCAAAAAAAUCCAACCCACAUUAUCCAUACAUUUUAAAAAUUGAAAUUUCAUCUCAUAGAACUAAUGCUUGGAAUUACAAACAAGUCUGAUUUCUCAAAAAAGGUAAAUGAACAGGAUUACAGAAGGAAACCAACAAUAAACUAUAUGUAUUGUAA